Molecule: long non-coding RNA, 247 nt
Filed under: Brassica napus (rape)
Lineage: Eukaryota; Viridiplantae; Streptophyta; Magnoliopsida; Brassicales; Brassicaceae
Description: long non-coding RNA (BNAP_LNC011229)
Source: RNAcentral
GAAGUGGCCUUUGGAAACGGUUACCAAAUGACCGAAAUAAGGAUGAAGAGAACAAAAAGGUCCAUAAAAUGAAUACUAUUUGCAAUUUGAGGAAGAAAAGUUUCACAACUUUGGGUCGGUGGAUAUAGAAAAGAUGAAACUUGUGUUAAAAAACGAGGGUGCCUAGCCAAAUAUUCGGCCUCCUAGGCCCUCAAUGUUAAGAUACCGAUUAAGACCAUCUCCAAUGAUUCAAUCUAUUUUUCGCUCU